This 693-nucleotide ribosomal RNA is filed under the name Rhodognaphalon schumannianum. RNAcentral describes it as "eukaryotic LSU rRNA". The stretch from base 290 to 445 matches the Rfam family "5.8S ribosomal RNA". Lineage: Eukaryota; Viridiplantae; Streptophyta; Magnoliopsida; Malvales; Malvaceae. The record is from RNAcentral.
CCUGCCCCGCAGAACGACCCGCGAACACGUUAAGUACCAACAUCGCGGGGCUGAGGGCGUGUUCGCGCCCCGAGCCCCCGCGGCGCCCUUGCGUGCGCGACCUCGACUCGCUGCGCCCUCUGGGCGGGCGGGUCGCCUGGUCUCGGCGCUUGCGGCCGAACAACGAACCCCCCGGCGCGAAUCGCGCCAAGGAAUCGAAACGAAUGAAGGGCACGUCCGCUGCCGUCGGCCCGUCCGCGGUGUUCGUUCGGGCGGCGGCGUGCCUCUUCUGUCGCGAAAGAUACGAAACGACUCUCGGCAACGGAUAUCUCGGCUCUCGCAUCGAUGAAGAACGUAGCGAAAUGCGAUACUUGGUGUGAAUUGCAGAAUCCCGUGAACCAUCGAGUCUUUGAACGCAAGUUGCGCCCCAGGCCGUUAGGCCGAGGGCACGCCUGCCUGGGUGUCACGCAUCGUCGCCCCCUCCAUCCCUCAGCCCCUCGGGCUCCGGAUGAGGCGGGGGCGGAAAAUGGCCUCCCGUGCGCUCCCCGCUCGCGGUUGGCCCAAAAUCGAGUCCUCGGCGACGACGGCGCCGCGACGAUCGGUGGUGAUGCCUCGAGCGCGCCUCGUCUCCCCGUCGCGUGCGCUUUCGUUGCUCCGGACUCAUCGAGACCCUCCUCGCGUCGCACGACCGAUGCUCGCAUCGCGACCCCAGGU